ACGCGACAGCGAACAGUGGAUGACAAAACUUCGUGAUUUGGGAUCUUAUGAUCUCUCGAGUUUCAAAAGGGGGAUUACAAAAGUUUCGAGUGAAUGGCCAUCGCCGCCACAGCUCCUCCAUCGCCUUUGGUUCCACUGCUACUUCUUUCCAUUCUGUUUCUCUUCAAAGGCAAAGGCAUCCCGGGCUUGAAAGAUCGCUUGACAACAUUCUCCGUUUGGGCUAUACUGCUGCCUCUCAUCAUCUUUGUUGCUGUGAUCAUCAUCCAUCCAAGAUCCUCGUCUCAAACCAACACAGCAAACUUACCAAAGCUUUCAUCCACAUCAAACUAUAAUCACUUCGACACUUGUGGCGCUGGAGCUUCAAAUUCCUCCGAAGGCCCCAGAUGGGGAUACAUUCUCAUGUCCAUGCUCUUUGCGCUGCUCAUGCAACUGUUUAAAGAGAAGAAAAAGGAUUAGAGCCAAA
This is a long non-coding RNA of Selaginella moellendorffii, 463 nucleotides long. RefSeq lists it as uncharacterized. The transcript is spliced from 2 exons. NCBI's taxonomy places the organism in Eukaryota, Viridiplantae, Streptophyta, Lycopodiopsida, Selaginellales, Selaginellaceae. The record is from RefSeq and is a predicted model, not a curated record.